AACGAACGCUGGCGGCAUGCCUAACACAUGCAAGUCGAACGAGACCUUCGGGUCUAGUGGCGCACGGGUGCGUAACGCGUGGGAACCUGCCUUUAGGUUCGGAAUAACUCAGAGAAAUUUGAGCUAAUACCGGAUGAUGUCUUCGGACCAAAGAUUUAUCGCCUUUAGAUGGGCCCGCGUUGGAUUAGCCAGUUGGUGGGGUAAAGGCCUACCAAGGCGACGAUCCAUAGCUGGUCUGAGAGGAUGAUCAGCCACACUGGGACUGAGACACGGCCCAGACUCGUACGGGAGGCAGCAGUGGGGAAUAUUGGACAAUGGGCGAAAGCCUGAUCCAGCAAUGCCGCGUGAGUGAGGAAGGCCUUAGGGUUGUAAAGCUCUUUUACCCGAGAUGAUAAUGACAGUAUCGGGAGAAUAAGCUCCGGCUAACUCCGUG
This 433-nucleotide ribosomal RNA is filed under the name uncultured bacterium. RNAcentral's name for it is "partial 16S ribosomal RNA". It matches the Rfam family "Bacterial small subunit ribosomal RNA", at positions 29 to 507 of the family's 1533-position model. The record is from RNAcentral.